Molecule: ribosomal RNA, 254 nt
Filed under: uncultured bacterium
Lineage: Bacteria
Description: partial 16S ribosomal RNA
Rfam family: Bacterial small subunit ribosomal RNA
Source: RNAcentral
CACGUAGGCACCAAGCGUUAUCCGGAUUUAUUGGGCGUAAAGAGCUCGUAGGCGGUUCGGUAAGUCGGGUGUGAAAACUCUGGGCUCAACCCAGAGAGGCCACCCGAUACUGCUGUGACUAGAGUGCGGUAGGGGAGCGGGGAAUUCCUGGUGUAGCGGUGAAAUGCGCAGAUAUCAGGAGGAACACCAGCGGCGAAGGCGCCGCUCUGGGCCGUAACUGACGCUGAGGAGCGAAAGCGUGGGGAGCGAACAGG